This 251-nucleotide ribosomal RNA is filed under the name uncultured prokaryote. Its description in RNAcentral is "partial 16S rRNA". It matches the Rfam family "Bacterial small subunit ribosomal RNA", at positions 525 to 775 of the family's 1533-position model. The record is from RNAcentral.
ACGGAGGGUGCAAGCGUUAUCCGGAUUUAUUGGGUUUAAAGGGUCCGUAGGCGGAUUAAUAAGUCAGUGGUGAAAGCCUAUCGCUUAACGAUAGAACUGCCAUUGAUACUGUUAGUCUUGAGUGAUGUUGAAGUGGCUGGAAUGUGUAGUGUAGCGGUGAAAUGCUUAGAUAUUACGCAGAACACCAAUUGCGAAGGCAGGUCACUAAGUAUCAACUGACGCUGAUGGACGAAAGCGUGGGGAGCGAACAG